CAUCCCCUAGAAGAAGAGGUGGGACACCACGGCGAAGAUCUGCAUCCCCUAGAAGAAGAGAUGGGUCACCACGGCGGAGAUCUACAUCCCCUAAAAGAAGAGAUAGGUCACCUCGGCGAAGAUCUCCAUCCCCUAAAAAAAGAGAUAGGUCACCACGACGAAGAUCUCCAUCCCCUAAAAGGAGAUCCUCGCCCAAGAGGAGGGGUUCACCAAGGAGGAAAGAUUCCCCACCAAGGAAGAGGGAUUCCUCUCCAAGAAGGAGAGACUCAUCACCAAA
RNAcentral lists this long non-coding RNA (277 nucleotides) under Brachypodium distachyon (stiff brome). RNAcentral describes it as "long non-coding RNA (BDIS_LNC000370)". Lineage: Eukaryota; Viridiplantae; Streptophyta; Magnoliopsida; Poales; Poaceae. The record is from RNAcentral.